Xenia sp. Carnegie-2017 is the source of this 551-nucleotide long non-coding RNA. RefSeq lists it as uncharacterized. NCBI's taxonomy places the organism in Eukaryota, Metazoa, Cnidaria, Anthozoa, Malacalcyonacea, Xeniidae. The transcript is spliced from 3 exons. The record is from RefSeq and is a predicted model, not a curated record.
CAAACAGCCUCACUUUGAAAAGACUUGCAGAGAUAUCGGGACAGAUUUCUGACGAGAACAAUCUUCUCACUCCAGCCAACAGAGGUUGAUCAUCGAUUAAGAUUUCAUCAAACGUUGCAGUAGUUUUUCUGAAACAUAUGAAAAUUUCUUUACAUUUCUUUGGAUUAAGGGGUGGAACUUGAUAUGAGAUUCGUUAACAAAACUAAGAUAUUGCCGUGAGAAACUUGUUUCUUUCUCAGAAAGGAAGGUGUGGUUACUUAAAUCUUGUCGUUAAAGAAAAACUGAGUUAUUUUUGUGUAUACACGUCAUGAGCAAGGGAAAGGAAGCAUCAAAAAAAACAAUUGACAUACUGUCCUUAGAUGGUGGAGGAAGUCGAGGUAUAUUGGAGCUGAAGAUAUUGGACGACGUUCUACGAUUGGCGACGAUUGUGUUAAGAAAUCCUGAUGAUGUGAGCUGCCUUGUAGACAAUGAUGAAAAGGAAGAGAUUUCUUAAAAGAUAGUAACGUUAGAGAGUUUCUGAUUGACUUUAUGGAUGGAGUAGAGGAUCCCAU